RNAcentral lists this signal recognition particle RNA (148 nucleotides) under Pan troglodytes (chimpanzee). RNAcentral describes it as "Metazoan signal recognition particle RNA". It matches the Rfam family "Metazoan signal recognition particle RNA". Rfam says of the family: The signal recognition particle (SRP) is a universally conserved ribonucleoprotein. The record is from Rfam by way of RNAcentral. Lineage: Eukaryota; Metazoa; Chordata; Mammalia; Primates; Hominidae.
GUUGGGCGUGGUGGCUCAUGCCUGUAAUCCCAGCGCUUUGGGAGUCUGAGACAGGAGGAUUGCUUGAGCCCAGGAGUUCAAGGCUGCAGUGAGCUGUGAUUGUGCCACUACACUCCAGCCUGGGCCACAGAGCAAGACCCUGUCUUUA